RNAcentral lists this ribosomal RNA (253 nucleotides) under uncultured bacterium. RNAcentral's name for it is "partial 16S ribosomal RNA". It matches the Rfam family "Bacterial small subunit ribosomal RNA", at positions 524 to 776 of the family's 1533-position model. The record is from RNAcentral.
UACAGAGGUGGCAAGCGUUGUUCGGAUUUACUGGGCGUAAAGGGUGCGUAGGUGGCUUUGUGUGUCGGGCGUGAAAUCCCACUGCUCAACGGUGGAACGCCGCCCGAAACUGCAGGGCUAGAGUGCAGGAGAGGAGAGCGGAAUUCUUGGUGUAGCGGUGGAAUGCGUUGAUAUCAAGAAGAACACCAGUGGCGUAGGCGGCUCUCUGGAAUGCAACUGACACUGAGGCACGAAAGCGUGGGGAGCAAACAGG